ACUGCCAGGAGCAUAACUACCGCAAGCCUCUGUUAGGAUUUGGAUUUUACUCUUAAAUGCUUGAGAUUAUCUUGUUUUAUAAUAUUUUCUCAUCAUUGAACAUUAUUUUAAUAUCAUUCUUUAAAUAACAAAACAAGUUCAUAUUUUGUUCUAGUGGCACUAAAGAAUAUGGGAUGAAACAACUGAACAUGGACCAUUUAAAUAAAUCAACCUGUGAGGAAAAUCUUUCUCAAAACCUUAACCAGCCAGGAUGACCAAGAUCUAAUCAAAGAUGGCAAAAUAAAUUUUAAGUUUUUUUAUUAAAGCUUUUUAUUUUCAAAA
Long non-coding RNA from Antechinus flavipes (yellow-footed antechinus), 321 nucleotides. RefSeq lists it as uncharacterized. The transcript has 2 exons. Lineage: Eukaryota; Metazoa; Chordata; Mammalia; Dasyuromorphia; Dasyuridae. The record is from RefSeq and is a predicted model, not a curated record.